This 113-nucleotide ribosomal RNA is filed under the name uncultured eukaryote. RNAcentral describes it as "partial small subunit ribosomal RNA". It matches the Rfam family "Eukaryotic small subunit ribosomal RNA", at positions 1676 to 1785 of the family's 1831-position model. The record is from RNAcentral.
UCGCUCCUACCGAUUGAAUGAUCCGGCGAAAUCUUUGGACCGUCGCUGUGGGUCGGUUUUCCGACUUGCAGUGUAUGGGAAGUUGAUUAAACCUUAUCAUUUAGAGGAAGGAG